CGGAGCAAGUGGGCCUUGAUCCCACAAAAAUUAGUUAACAGCUAACUACCCUAACCAGCGGGCUUUCACUCG
This 72-nucleotide transfer RNA is filed under the name Anolis quaggulus. Its description in RNAcentral is "tRNA-Asx". Lineage: Eukaryota; Metazoa; Chordata; Lepidosauria; Squamata; Anolidae. The record is from RNAcentral.